AGCAACAACAUUGGAUGUAUCAUUUGCAUUUUCCACCACAACCAUGCUUGAAGCUACAACACCAGCAGCUCCAAAUGACCACAAGGCCAUCCAUAAAAGCAACACAGCCAUAAACGCAUAUGCUACUCUCAACCUCCAAAUCCAUCCAAGAGCAGUCCCAACACCGCCGGCAACAGCAUAGAGUGGCCAGUAAUCAUCUGUCAAACCAGCCUGAUCUUUCAUGAAGCGGUGGUAUCAAAUGUGACCUUGGGAGCCUUAAAAGGGUACUCAUUGGGAAAUGAAAGGGAGAGUUUAUAUUCUGCUCCCUCAAAUACAGCUUCUUUGCUUCCUGUUAUUGUUUCUUUCCAACACAAUAUAUUAUCCUCCUUAGGGAAUGCAGAUAUACCAGAAUCUCCACCCAUCGUCAAAGCCAUCAAUUCAGACUGCAACCUUCUGAGAACAGAUUGAGAAUCUACGGAUUUAGGAGGAAGAGAUUGCUUUGAGGGAGCAAUGUUGUCUUGACCAGCUUCAGUGUGGACGUUAAUGGUAGCCAUGGGAUUUUGAGGCGUUCAAGAUUGUUUUGAUUCCUCAGUUCUGUUAUCCGGCUGAAGGCUUCCUUUUUCUCCUUCUGCUAAGUUGCGGCAAUCAUCAGGUUAUGAAGAUGCUCCUGCAGUUUUGUUCGAUACCUUCCAUCGACAUUCCAACUCCAACCAUUGUUGAGUUAACACUUGCUCGUGCUUCAAUUGGACCAGAUGCUACAUCCUCUAAUAUCCCAUGCAUCUCAAUGUUUCCAUGGAACCGAUUUUAUUAUGCAGGUCGUGGAUUCCGAGUCUUCAAAGCAAAGCAAAAUGGCUUGGCGCGUUGCGAACUCCAUACCAGCUGUUGUUGGAUUUGUACCGUGGUCUUAAAAGAGACAUAAUUAUGAUUGAAUUGCACUGUAACUUGCAAUUGGUGACACCAGAAGUUUUAAACAAUGUAACUUUCAGUAAGAAAUCCUUAUUUCCAAAUGGAAAGUCUGUUGCAACUGGCCCAAUUAAUGAAUCUGAAUAUAGAUUGUAAGAGGUAGACAAAAGGAGAGCAUCAAGGACCUUAGUUUGUAAGUGUCCAACCAAAGCACUUUGAUUUUCAGCAUUACUUCAAGGCAACAACAAUUUCAUUGCACUCUGCACCAAGAUAAUCAAUCUGUGACCCAACUGUGUUACCAAUUUUAGACUUAUAAAAACAGCUCUGUUCAUCAUCACGGAAGGAUAAAAUAAUAGAUACUCCUGAAAAAGUAGCCCUGAGAUUGGUUUCCAUGUGAUGCUGUUCAGAGGGAAGAUGCAAAGAUCCAGAAGCAAGGCUGGAUGCAGCCGUAAUAGCACUGAAAACCGAACAUGUCCAGUUCCACAU
Molecule: long non-coding RNA, 1368 nt
Organism: Lathyrus oleraceus (garden pea)
Lineage: Eukaryota; Viridiplantae; Streptophyta; Magnoliopsida; Fabales; Fabaceae
Exons: 3
Source: RefSeq, a predicted model, not a curated record